This is a long non-coding RNA of Fundulus heteroclitus (mummichog), 1580 nucleotides long. RefSeq lists it as uncharacterized. The record is from RefSeq and is a predicted model, not a curated record. Lineage: Eukaryota; Metazoa; Chordata; Actinopteri; Cyprinodontiformes; Fundulidae. The transcript is spliced from 3 exons.
GUCCUCAUCAGAGUUAGAGGAGGUGGUGUUGGAGGACGACUGGCACUUUCUCUUCAUGAUGACGGGAACAUUAUAGCUCUCCAAAUACCUGCAGGAGUCAGUCACAACACUGUGCAGCGUAUUCACCUUCGUAUCCAGAGUGAACCCUCUCAGCCAGUAGGAGGCAGCAGAACUGGUCUUCAUCGUGAGCCGUGUCCUGCACCUUCAUCAGACUCCUGACUGCUGCGAGACGGACGAGCAAAACAAACAGGCGUCAAGUCAAAGCACUAAUGAAAAGUCCCACAGAGGGACAAAAUGAAAGACUCUGAUCCUGGCGGCGGCGGCAGCGGUCGGCGAGCUAACCUGCAGCCGCUGGUCGAAGGGUUGUCCUGCUCCGAGCUGAGCAGGCUGUAGGCGUUGGAGCUGCUGGGGGGAGACGGGCUGUGGGAGUUGGAACUGUGCAAAGAGAGAAGGAAAAAGUUGAAAUUGCAACUGCAAAACGGAAGUAAAAAUCACGUCAGUUUCAUCAAAACUGAUUUUCUGAGGGUGUUUGAUGGAGAUGUCCCAUUCUUUAGCACAUUCAGGUCAUAGGGAGGAGAGCAACAGGGUAAAGAAAAGGUCCACAUCAUUUUUCACUGAAGUACAAACUUAUCACGUGUGCCCUGCACCCAUCUGAGGCGCUGAAGUGUCUUUCAGUAAAAAAAAAAAAAAAAAAAGGACAAGUGUCACCAUUUUCACGUUUUGGGGUGGUAUUUAACUCAGGCUAAAAGAAGAUCAGCCUUUCUACGUUUUUAUUCGCCCUUUGUGACCGUUGGAACGAGUGCGCUUGGAGCGUCAGAUCCAAUUUAGCGGCCGAGUCACAAAAGAAGUUCACGCUCUUAUCUUGAAGUCUUUGUCACCGACUUGAAGGACCCGAAUUGGUGCCGGCAGCUCAAUGGUUGCACAGCAGGAAAACAUCAGCGUGGCCGAGUGUGAGGUCAAGGCACCACUGGGGGGGCAGUACAUCCCUGCUUGUUGCCUUGGUGCUCAGAUUUAGAAAGAGUAUCUGACAUUUUGUCACCGAGGACUGUUUUUGGCCGUGGAGUCUGACUCCGCUACCCAGUCUGAAGUUGAAGACAGCCACGUGUGUUUCUGCAGGUCAAUAUCCAGAAGUGAGAAACUCAUCGAAAAGGUCGUUUUUUUUUCUUUCAGGGACUGAAUUCAAAACGUGAAACUCAGAUUUGUACUGUCGCCACAGCGGGAGAGAUUUUGAUGAUAACUUAAACAAACCCAGAUCAUUUAGAUUUACUAAACAAUUACUUUUAUUGCAGGAAUAUGAUCUUACUGAGCAGCCGUAUGCACUGUAAGGUUUAUAUAUUCUGUACUUUCUCCGUACCUCUCCUGCAUGGACUACUGCACCAAUGUAUUGUUUGAUCGGUUGUCAAAAUCAUUUACAGAUCUGUCAGGAGAAAGAAAAAUAUAUAUUUGAAGAGAAACUGGUCAUUUUCAGGCAUCACAAAGCCAAUGUUUAGACUAAAAUUAAUCGGGUCUAAAGAGGUUAACCUCUGACAGGAGCUGCGUCCUGCAUCUUGUGAGUCUGCCUCUAACUCUUGAAUGGACUU